RNAcentral lists this ribosomal RNA (497 nucleotides) under uncultured bacterium. RNAcentral describes it as "partial 16S ribosomal RNA". It matches the Rfam family "Bacterial small subunit ribosomal RNA", at positions 28 to 507 of the family's 1533-position model. The record is from RNAcentral.
GAUGAACGCUGGCGGCGUGCCUAAUACAUGCAAGUCGAGCGAACGGACGAGAAGCUUGCUUUUCUGAUGUUAGCGGCGGACGGGUGAGUAACACGUGGAUAACCUACCUAUAAGACUGGGAUAACUUCGGGAAACCGGAGCUAAUACCGGAUAAUAUUUUGAACCGCAUGGUUCAAAAGUGAAAGACGGUCUUGCUGUCACUUAUAGAUGGAUCCGCGCUGCAUUAGCUAGUUGGUAAGGUAACGGCUUACCAAGGCAACGAUGCAUAGCCGACCUGAGAGGGUGGACGGCCACACUGGAACUGAGACACGGUCCAGACUCCUACGGGAGGCAGCAGUAGGGAAUCUUCCGCAAUGGGCGAAAGCCUGACGGAGCAACGCCGCGUGAGUGAUGAAGGUCUUCGGAUCGUAAAACUCUGUUAUUAGGGAAGAACAUAUGUGUAAGUAACUGUGCACAUCUUGACGGUACCUAAUCAGAAAGCCACGGCUAACUACGUG